GGAUUUGAGAGCACCAGGUUGUCAGAGGGAAUAUGAAAGUCGGGCAGCUGUGAACACUGUAGUUUUGCACCCUAAUCAGACUGAGUUGAUAUCUGGAGACCAAAAUGGCAAUAUCCGUGUGUGGGAUUUGAGAGCAAAUUCAUGUAGCUGUGAGUUGGUACCGGAGGUGGAUACAGCUGUUCGUUCUUUGACUGUCAUGUGGGAUGGAAGCUUAAUUGUUGCUGCAAACAAUCGUGGAACAUGUUAUGUUUGGCGUUUACUACGUGGCACUGAGACAAUGACCAACUUUGAGCCUCUGCAUAAGUUACAGGCUCAUGAUGGUUAUAUCCUCAAAUGUCUUCUUUCCCCUGAACUAUGCGAACCUAACAGGUAUCUGGCGACUGCAUCUUCUGAUCAUACAGUCAAGAUUUGGAAUGUGGAUGGCUUUACCUUGGAGAAAACUCUGAUAGGACACGAACGCUGGGUUUGGGACUGUGUGUUCUCUGUAGAUGGUGCUUUUCUCAUCACAGCAUCUUCUGAUACAACAACAAGAUUGUGGUCCACAUCUACAGGCAAAGAUAUCAAAGUGUACCAGGGGCAUCAUAAAGCAACAGUAUGUUGUGCUCUACAUGACGGACCUGAACCAUCUAGCUGAACUUGGAUCAUGCAUUGUUCAUCUUACUUUCAGACGAAUUGUUCAAUGAACAUUAUAGAUGGCCCCCUAGGGCACUAGUUUAGUGGUAAAACCUGCAGUGCAGAUGUGUUGGGCUGAUGCAGUGCAUGCAUUCGAGCCUUGUUGGCAUACAAAAGCUUGGUAUUUAAGUGGACAAUGGUAGAUGAACAGACUGAUUAUCCUCUGAAAUUGUGUCGGCUGGGCCUCAAGGAUUUCCUGGUUAUCAAAAAUAUUUUAAAUGUAAUUUGGAUGAUUAAUGUGGUGUAGUACAUGAUGUUCAGUUUAUCCUGUUUUAUGUGCAUGUGUACAGAAGUGACAUUCUACCAUUAGUUUACUUCCAUUGUUUCAUGGCAUCCGUUGAAAUUGUAUGCUUAUG
This 1028-nucleotide unclassified non-coding RNA is filed under the name Hevea brasiliensis (rubber tree). Lineage: Eukaryota; Viridiplantae; Streptophyta; Magnoliopsida; Malpighiales; Euphorbiaceae. The record is from RNAcentral.